This is a long non-coding RNA of Apis cerana (Asiatic honeybee), 2677 nucleotides long. RefSeq lists it as uncharacterized. Lineage: Eukaryota; Metazoa; Arthropoda; Insecta; Hymenoptera; Apidae. The record is from RefSeq and is a predicted model, not a curated record.
CAGUCGGUAAUAAUAAAACUCGCCUUACGAUACCCAACAAAGAAUCACCAAUAGCAAUGACAACACCGAUUCAGAGUGAAAUGUUAAACCCCCAUGUCAGAAGCUUACUUUGAUGUCGCUCGAAAAGGGGCCGCCAUAAAUUGUAGGCCGUUGCCAUUAGCAGGGCAUUUAGUGAUAACGCAAGCGUCGAGGGGGGAUAGGAGGGCGUAAAAGGUACAACGCCAAUCGCGGGGUCGCGGGUCCGCCUACAUCUGUUGGCUCCAUAUAAUCGUUUAUACGGGCGAGCCAGCUGAUGCCGGCCCCUGCCAUAUAACCAACUUGUAUGCAAAUUAUAUUCAUGCAAUGGGAUCUCGUACGAUUACGUAGCCGGUACCAGGGCGCGAGUUUACAGCGGCAACACGCGUAUAAACCUCCGCCGGAUAGAUAGCCGUGUUUCCUCCGUUCGAUUGUAGAAGUGGCCACGUAUGUGUGUCCAGUAUUUCUGUAUACGGUACUCGAUGUUUCGACGUGUUGCGACUCACACGUACACACGUAUACUACACUGGACGCACACGAACUAAACGCAGGAUAUGCGUAGGAUGUAUUUCGGUGUUUCUGUAGGUGAUAUUCGAUGUUUCGACGAGUCUGUCGAUUCACGUGUAUACAUACAAGUGUGCUACAGAGAGAAAACUUAUAUGUGUGUCGCAUAGAAUAUACGUACAAAGUUGAUAUACGCGAGUAUUCACGCCAAAGCACGUAUUGCAAUGUUCCUGGAUGUAUAAGUCGGCUCACAUAUACAUAUAAAGUUACGUUGCAAUGUCAUUUUUGAAUGUAUGUGCACAAAUAUAUACAUAAUACUAUAUAUAUAUAUUUUCGAUAUGUCUAUAAUGAAAUAUAUUAAGCCAAAAUGUCUAUUUUAUGUGCUCUUACAUAUUUAUAUUUAUUUGAUGCUUUAAUAUGUUCAUACACAAGUAAGAAUUAAUAUUUAAACUGUAAUUAGUGAGAAUUAUGUUAAAAAUUUUCUAGGUUAUGAUACAAGUAUUCCACGGAGAAUCGUCUCAUGUAGGCAUUCAAAUCGAAAUGCGUAUUUUCGUGUUUCUAUAUGUGUUAUUCGAUGUUUCUACGUGUCUGUCCACUCACACGUACACACACAAAUACACAGGAACUGAGUGCACGGAGGCACCCAAGCCAAAACGCUGUUGCUGUCUCUCGUUAUGCGCUCACACGCACCUCGCCCACGGACCAGUAUCUGGCCGAUGUUCAAUUAUGUACUGGGCCCAGUAUGCUUACCAGUAAUUUCCCGAAUACCGCGAUAAUCUGUGUUAUUAUCAUAGCGCUUUUACUCCUCUCCCCUCUGAUUCCAUGGCACGACCCUCUUUAUCGCCGCGUUUCCUCGUGUCGUUAUUGCUAUAUCGGCGACUCGUGCCGCCUUCCUACGUUAAUUGGACGAGACCGUGUUACGGUUUAAUUGUCGCUACUCUUAAUUAUGGCCCGUGUACCGAAGCUGUGUCAAGCUCUAAAUUAUCUUUCGAAUUGUUUCCGCGUGACCGGGCCCCGAUAACCGAUCCUGGCGCCCUCUCCCCCCUCCACUUUCAAAUUAACUGGCGAACGCAUUGUUUCUCGUUUCUGGCGAUACGUUGGAUCUCUUGUUAACCUUAUAAAGGGUAUAUGAGGAUAUAUAAAUCAGUUUGAUGAAUCUUUUUUAGAAGGUAAAAGAUGUCAAAUGUCAACAAGAGGGCAGCACUUCGCAAUAUAAUUCCCUGCAAAUAUUUAUCUGUAAUGAAAAUUUAAUUUAAUAUAUUGCGUCCUCAAAGAAUUUCCUCCAAUUCGUGAAGCAUUUACUUUAAUUUUCAAUUUUCAAUAAAAUGAAUAUUUCACCGAUGAUUAGAUUAAAUUAAGUAACAUUGACUGAUCUAUAUAUAUAUAUAACUGUAUAUGUAAUAAAAUUUUAGAUAAGAUUUCAAGUUUAGGUUAGGUUAAGUUGAGUGAUAUUGAUACUUUCAUAUAUAAUAGAUUUAUGAUAUGAUAAUAUUUCAUAGAUUUUAUUAAGGUUUUUUAUUAUUAAGGUUAGAUUAAGUGGCUGAUCUUAAAAUAUUCGCAGUAAAGAAGAAAGAAAAAUACAUCAAACUUAUUACGCGUUGCGUUUACGAUAUCUACUUUCGUCGCUUUAAUGUAUGAUGGAACAUCAAAGGAAAGAAGAAAGGAAAAUAUGGCACGAGCACAAAUCACGCGACGGAAGACGAGCAUGAAAAUCGUUAACAGCAAGCAACUGCGUGCCAAUUUGGCUCUUACUUUAAACACGGCAAACAUCCAGCUUGUUACACUAAUUAUAACAUCGACCCGUUUCUGUUUUCCGAUCUAUUCUGCGAUUCAGCCUUCCCCCGGUUCCCGCUGGAAAUCGUUACUCUUCUUGGUACUACACGUUUCCACGUUUCGAAUUCGAUUCGACACAGAAUUUCGAUAUGUCGUUCGAUAAAUGGAUCGUGUACUGGCCAGAAAGUGAUAUUAAUUAGCGAUAAUAAUACAACCAAACUCCUCCAUGUCGUUCAUUUGUAAUGAUAUUUCCAUUUCCUAAAUCAUGAUUUAUUGUAAGAAUUGGGUUGUUUGAAUUGUGGGAAACAACGAAUUUUCACGUGGUUAUUAUACGAUAUAUUUAAAAAAAAAAAGACUACAUAAUAAAAUAAUAUAUCAAAUCAAA